AAUGGGCGCAAGCCUGAUCCAGCAAUGCCGCGUGGGUGAAGACGGCCUGCGGGUUGUAAAGCCCUUUGGGCGGGGAGGAACGGCGUCGCGCGAACAGGGCGGCGCCCUGACGUUACCCGCGAAACAAGCACCGGCUAACUCCGUGCCAGCAGCCGCGGUAAUACGGAGGGUGCGAGCGUUAAUCGGAAUUACUGGGCGUAAAGCGUGCGUAGGCGGUCCGGUCAGUCAGCCGUGAAAGCCCCGGGCUCAACCUGGGAACGGCGGUUGAGACGGCCGGACUGGAGUGGGCUAGAGGAUCGUGGAAUUCCGGGUGUAGCGGUGAAAUGCGUAGAGAUCCGGAGGAACACCGAUGGCGAAGGCAGCGGUCUGGGGCCACACUGACGCUGAGGCACGAAAGCGUGGGGAGCAAA
This 410-nucleotide ribosomal RNA is filed under the name uncultured bacterium. Its description in RNAcentral is "bacterial SSU rRNA". It matches the Rfam family "Bacterial small subunit ribosomal RNA", at positions 370 to 772 of the family's 1533-position model. The record is from RNAcentral.